AAUGGGCGCAAGCCUGAUCCAGCCAUGCCGCGUGCAGGAUGAAGGCCUUCGGGUUGUAAACUGCUUUUGUACGGAACGAAAAGACUCCUUCUAAUAAAGGGGGUCCAUGACGGUACCGUAAGAAUAAGCACCGGCUAACUACGUGCCAGCAGCCGCGGUAAUACGUAGGGUGCGAGCGUUAAUCGGAAUUACUGGGCGUAAAGCGUGCGCAGGCGGUUAUAUAAGACAGAUGUGAAAUCCCCGGGCUCAACCUGGGAACUGCAUUUGUGACUGUAUAGCUAGAGUACGGUAGAGGGGGAUGGAAUUCCGCGUGUAGCAGUGAAAUGCGUAGAUAUGCGGAGGAACACCGAUGGCGAAGGCAAUCCCCCUGGACCUGUACUGACGCUCAUGCACGAAAGCGUGGGGAGCAAACAGGAUUAGAUACCCUGGUAGUCCACGCCCUAAACGAUGUCAACUGGUUGUUGGGUCUUCACUGACUCAGUAACGAAGCUAACGCGUGAAGUUGACCGCCUGGGGAGUACGGCCGCAAGGUUGAAACUCAAAUGAAUUGACGG
This 554-nucleotide ribosomal RNA is filed under the name uncultured bacterium. Its description in RNAcentral is "bacterial SSU rRNA". It matches the Rfam family "Bacterial small subunit ribosomal RNA", at positions 370 to 916 of the family's 1533-position model. The record is from RNAcentral.